UCGAAGACCAAAAGGCAUACGCGUGAAC
Molecule: small RNA, 28 nt
Filed under: Bombyx mori (domestic silkworm)
Lineage: Eukaryota; Metazoa; Arthropoda; Insecta; Lepidoptera; Bombycidae
Description: piRNA piR-bmo-1881631
Source: RNAcentral